Molecule: ribosomal RNA, 207 nt
Filed under: uncultured bacterium
Lineage: Bacteria
Description: partial 16S ribosomal RNA
Rfam family: Bacterial small subunit ribosomal RNA
Source: RNAcentral
UACGUAGGGUGCAAGCGUUGUCCGGAAUUAUUGGGCGUAAAGAGCUCGUAGGCGGUUUGUUGCGUCGGCUGUGAAAUCCCGAGGCUCAACCUCGGGUCUGCAGUCGAUACGAGCAAACUAGAGUGUUGCAGGGGAGACUGGAAUUCCUGGUGUAGCGGUGAAAUGCGCAGAUAUCAGGAGGGAACACCCAAUGGCGAAGGCAGCACU